UGACUCUAUCCUUGAGCCAAGUCCACGGUC
This 30-nucleotide non-coding RNA is filed under the name Mus musculus (house mouse). Lineage: Eukaryota; Metazoa; Chordata; Mammalia; Rodentia; Muridae. The record is from RNAcentral.